Acidiplasma cupricumulans is the source of this 74-nucleotide transfer RNA. It matches the Rfam family "tRNA". From Rfam's summary of the family: Transfer RNA (tRNA) molecules are approximately 80 nucleotides in length. The record is from Rfam. NCBI's taxonomy places the organism in Archaea, Methanobacteriati, Thermoplasmatota, Thermoplasmata, Thermoplasmatales, Ferroplasmaceae.
GGGUCCGUAGCUCAGCUAGGUAGAGCGUCUGGCUUUUAACCAGGCGGUCAGGGGUUCAAACCCCCUCGGACCCG